This 232-nucleotide ribosomal RNA is filed under the name uncultured bacterium. RNAcentral describes it as "partial 16S ribosomal RNA". It matches the Rfam family "Bacterial small subunit ribosomal RNA", at positions 118 to 350 of the family's 1533-position model. The record is from RNAcentral.
UGGGCAACCUGCCCUCAGCACUGGGAUAACCCCGGGAAACCGGAGCUAAUACCGGAUACUCUCGGCCGAUCACAUGGCUGGCCGAGGAAAGGUCCGCCGGUCAGGGAUGGGCCCGCGGCCUAUCAGCUUGUUGGUGGGGUAACGGCCUACCAAGGCAUCGACGGGUAGCUGGUCUGAGAGGACGACCAGCCACACUGGGACUGAGACACGGCCCAAACUCCUACGGGAGGCA